GUCCACGCCGUAAACGUUGGGCACUAGGUGUGGGUCCUUAUCAACGGGAUCCGUGCCGCAGCUAACGCAGUAAGUGCCCCGCCUGGGGGAGUACGGUCGCAAGACUAAAACUCAAAGGAAUUGACGGGGGACCGCACAAGCGGCGGAGCAUGUUGCUUAAUUCGAUGCAACGCGAAGAACCUUACCUGGGCUUGACAUGUACCGAAAAGCCGCAGAGAUGUGGUGUCCUUCGGGGCGGUACACAGGUGGUGCAUGGCUGUCGU
RNAcentral lists this ribosomal RNA (263 nucleotides) under uncultured bacterium. RNAcentral describes it as "partial 16S ribosomal RNA". It matches the Rfam family "Bacterial small subunit ribosomal RNA", at positions 793 to 1055 of the family's 1533-position model. The record is from RNAcentral.